This 700-nucleotide ribosomal RNA is filed under the name Phyllobacterium myrsinacearum. RNAcentral describes it as "bacterial SSU rRNA". It matches the Rfam family "Bacterial small subunit ribosomal RNA", at positions 64 to 811 of the family's 1533-position model. The record is from RNAcentral. Lineage: Bacteria; Pseudomonadati; Pseudomonadota; Alphaproteobacteria; Hyphomicrobiales; Phyllobacteriaceae.
GAGCGCCCCGCAAGGGGAGCGGCAGACGGGUGAGUAACGCGUGGGAAUCUACCCAUCUCUACGGAAUAACGCAUGGAAACGUGUGCUAAUACCGUAUACGUCCUUCGGGAGAAAGAUUUAUCGGAGAUGGAUGAGCCCGCGUUGGAUUAGCUAGUUGGUGGGGUAAAGGCCUACCAAGGCGACGAUCCAUAGCUGGUCUGAGAGGAUGAUCAGCCACACUGGGACUGAGACACGGCCCAGACUCCUACGGGAGGCAGCAGUGGGGAAUAUUGGACAAUGGGCGCAAGCCUGAUCCAGCCAUGCCGCGUGAGUGAUGAAGGCCCUAGGGUUGUAAAGCUCUUUCACCGGUGAAGAUAAUGACGGUAACCGGAGAAGAAGCCCCGGCUAACUUCGUGCCAGCAGCCGCGGUAAUACGAAGGGGGCUAGCGUUGUUCGGAUUUACUGGGCGUAAAGCGCACGUAGGCGGACUAUUAAGUCAGGGGUGAAAUCCCGGGGCUCAACCCCGGAACUGCCUUUGAUACUGGUAGUCUUGAGUUCGAGAGAGGUGAGUGGAAUUCCGAGUGUAGAGGUGAAAUUCGUAGAUAUUCGGAGGAACACCAGUGGCGAAGGCGGCUCACUGGCUCGAUACUGACGCUGAGGUGCGAAAGCGUGGGGGAGCAAACAGGAUUAGAUACCCUGGUAGUCCACGCCGUAAACUAUG